GAAACACCCACACAAAUUGGGAAGAAAAUGCAAAGUCACACAGAAGGGAGGCGGGUGUGAGCUGGCAGUGCCACCCAGUGAGAUGCCCGUUUAGAUGUGAGGUAGCAGUGCCACCCAGUGAGAUGCCCGUUUAGAUGCGAGCUGGCAGUGCCACCCAGUGAGAUGCCCGUUUAGAUGCGAGCUGGCAGUGCCACCCAGUGAGAUGCCCGUUUAGAUGUGAGCUGGCAGUGCCGCCCAGUGAGAUGCCCGUUUAGAUGUGAGCUGGCAGUGCCGCCCAGUGAGAUGCCCGUUUAGAUGUGAGCUGGCAGUGCCGCCCAGUGAGAUGCCCGUUUAGAUGUGAGCUGGCAGUGCCGCCCAGUGAGAUGCCCGUUUAGAUGUGAGGUGACAGUGCCGCCCAGUGAGAUGCCCGCUUCUGUUUUACAGACAAGUUUACGUCACAAAAAAACCAUAAACUGUACUUCUCUCGACCUCCUGCUUCCUUU
Long non-coding RNA from Brienomyrus brachyistius, 482 nucleotides. RefSeq lists it as uncharacterized. The record is from RefSeq and is a predicted model, not a curated record. The transcript is spliced from 4 exons. Lineage: Eukaryota; Metazoa; Chordata; Actinopteri; Osteoglossiformes; Mormyridae.